CCUACGGGAGGCAGCAGUGAGGAAUAUUGGUCAAUGGGCGCGAGCCUGAACCAGCCAAGUCGCGUGCAGGAUGACGGCCCUACGGGUUGUAAACUUCUUUUAUACGGGAAUAAAGUGCCUUACGCGUCCGGCUUUGCAUGUACCUUAUGAAUAAGGACCGGCUAAAUCCGUGCCAGCAGCCGCGGUAAUACGGAGGGUCCGGGCGUUAUCCGGAUUUAUUGGGUUUAAAGGGUGCGUAGGCGGCCUUUUAAGCCUGCUGUGAAAUUUUGGGGCUCAACCCUGGAAUUGCAGUGGGAACUGGGGGGCUUGAGUCUGUGGAAGGCAGGCGGAAUGCGUGGUGUAGCGGUGAAAUGCUUAGAUAUGACGAAGAACCCCGAUUGCGAAGGCAGCUUGCUGAGGCGGAACUGACGCUGAUGCACGAAAGCGUGGGGAUCGAACAGGAUUAGAUACCCUUGUAGUC
RNAcentral lists this ribosomal RNA (460 nucleotides) under uncultured bacterium. RNAcentral describes it as "partial 16S ribosomal RNA". It matches the Rfam family "Bacterial small subunit ribosomal RNA", at positions 338 to 795 of the family's 1533-position model. The record is from RNAcentral.